CAGUCGCCGCGGGAAUACAGAGGGUGCGAGCGUUAAUCGGAUUUACUGGGCGUAAAGCGUGCGUAGGCGGCUUUUUAAGUCGGAUGUGAAAUCCCUGAGCUUAACUUAGGAAUUGCAUUCGAUACUGGGAAGCUAGAGUAUGGGAGAGGAUGGUAGAAUUCCAGGUGUAGCGGUGAAAUGCGUAGAGAUCUGGAGGAAUACCGAUGGCGAAGGCAGCCAUCUGGCCUAAUACUGACGCUGAGGUACGAAAGCAUGGGGAGCAAACAGGAUUAGAUACCCGAGUAGUCCUGUCUCUUAUACA
Molecule: ribosomal RNA, 301 nt
Filed under: uncultured bacterium
Lineage: Bacteria
Description: partial 16S ribosomal RNA
Rfam family: Bacterial small subunit ribosomal RNA
Source: RNAcentral